CGGCUGGGGAUGAGGACUGAGGGGCUGAGCGCUGGAGGCGGGGCCUCAGCUUGUCGCGCUCCCUGCACCUGCCGACAGUCCCUCCCGCUGGUUUCGGGCGCAGUUUCUCGAUUCACCGUUAGGGGGAGGGGCGCCCAGACCGCUUGAUAAUAAUAAUGAACAGAAACGUGAAUUCGGUGCCAGGCCUUUCAAUCACCUGUCGCAUCGUCCUCGCCCAAACCCUGUCAGGUCGGUGGGAUUGGCUUUCCCACUUCACAGAUGAGGAAACAGGUGGUUAAGCUGCUCUCCCCAGGCCACACGCCCAGGAAGGGACAAAGCGGAGAUUUAAGGAGACAUGGGAUUCUGACCCACGAUGCCAUACCCUAGAAGGGGCUGAUAUUCCUUAACUGUCACUCUGGAGUACCCAGGAGGGAGACGUCUUAGUAUCACUGUCUUCUAUGCAAAGGCACAGCUGCGAAGAAGGCACGUUUGGUUCCCACUCACCUUCUGCCCAGACAGGUGUGCUCCAACAGGUGCGUCCCAGAUAAACGAGCCUCGUCCCCUCCCUCACGGAUGUUUUCAUUCACAGGCGCUCCUUCCAGGUGCCCUACAACAUGGAGGAUACAGAUGUUUUCCCAAGGAGAUGCCCCAAACAGGUGUUUCACAAGUGCAUCCUCGACAGGUGGGCCUCUGUACAGAUGUUCCUCAGACGAGGCUGUUUCCUUCACCUCUCGGGGAUGUUUCUCAACAGGAAUGCAUGAUACGGCCCCCCCACAGCCCUGUACAUAGUUGUGUAUCCUCGUUGUAAGUGUCCCGAGUUCCUCUACGUGGGACGCCGCCACAGCAUGGCUUGAGUCGUGUGUAAGUCUGCGCCCAGGAUCUGAACCGGCGAACCCCCAGCCGCUGAAGCGGAGCGCGCGAACUUAACCAGUGUCACCCGGCCGGCCCCAGGUGUUAUAACGCAGGUGUGUACCACCCGGGUGUUUUUUCAUCAGAGGCUCCCCAUCCGAGUCUGCCUCAGACAGGAGUGCCUCAUACCCCGAUGUCUCCGUGCCCAGGGUGUCUCCGCACCUGUGCGAUCUUGCAGACGCGCCCGCCAUCCAGGCAGGAGGUCCCUCUGAAACCUGCGCGCUCCCGCCCCUUUUGACUCCUCCCCCUUAUAGGAUUGGAUUCCUGUUA
This 1158-nucleotide long non-coding RNA is filed under the name Equus asinus (donkey). Its description in RNAcentral is "lncRNA (ENSEASG00005036734.1)". Lineage: Eukaryota; Metazoa; Chordata; Mammalia; Perissodactyla; Equidae. The record is from RNAcentral.